This is a long non-coding RNA of Phragmites australis (common reed), 1430 nucleotides long. RefSeq lists it as uncharacterized. The record is from RefSeq and is a predicted model, not a curated record. The transcript is spliced from 3 exons. NCBI's taxonomy places the organism in Eukaryota, Viridiplantae, Streptophyta, Magnoliopsida, Poales, Poaceae.
UUUUACCAAAAUAUAUGUAGUUUUGCGAUAAAAUUUAUACUAAACAUGUAGUUUUGUAAAACUAUUAUUUAAAUUUGUAGUUUUGCAAUGAUUUUAUUAAAGUAUUUGUAGUUUUACGAAAUUUACUCUUUAAACUUGUGGCACAUUAACUUUCAGUUUUGUUUUUCAAAGUUAGGUGGCUACAUUUACUGCCUGAUACAAGCUUAAAGUGAUGGUAAAGAUGUUUGAUGGCAAAUUAGUAAAAGAUAAUCAUAUCUAGAUUCUAAGAUAUUUCAAUGUCUGUUCUCAGCGUUUCUUAAAAGGAAAAAGGUGAGAAGAAUGGUGCGACAGCCCAAAAGGAGUUUGGAAAUAUUUUGUGGGGAAGAAUGCGCAACGAGGGGUUGGAUGCUGUGCAUCCACGAGCUUUCCUUUUACCCAAUUGAACAUGGCUUUGGGAAGAAGAGAAAGGCAUUUGAUGGAGGUAACUCGCUCAGGUGGGGAGAAGAGCCUGCGCUCCACCUGGCCACUGCAGUGGCUGCUCUGUCUAUGCCUUCGCCUUUUUUCACGAAAGAGGUAAAAAGGAGCUGUGCACUCGAAACUUUGAUGCUGGCAACCUAUACGUACCGGCAUCAUGCUAUACCGCUUGCUUGUGAAACCUGUGAUGCAGGAACAGUCCAUCGGGGUAUAAGUAAAUCCUGCUGUACAAAUGCACAUUGUUUUCUGCUGAUCAACGAUUGGAGUUCUAGACAUGUGGUAGGUACUUUAGGUUUUCAUUACCCCUAGACGGCGGCUGUAUGAAGCAGCUGAUUUCUGCAGCUUGUGCCCCUGAUUCUUUACAAGAAGCACGAGUCCAGCAAAUCACAGCCGUGUCAAUUUACUGAGCUGCUAUCAGUAUACCGACCAAUUCUGCAGAUGCAAAGCAUCAGCCUGUGCAAGACAACUGUACCUGUAUGGAAAGAUGCAGUUAUUUAAUCCCGUUAAAACCGGCAAGCAGAUCCCAAGAGUAGCCACCCCGCCUGCCUGUCCCAAGUACUCUCUCGCUGCUCCCCCACAACCACAGGAGUUAGGCCAAUCCAGCAGCAUAGCAGUUGCAGGGCCGAGCGCCACCACCAGCGCAGGGCCCCUCCUCCGCGCCGCGGUCCGAUGCGGCAGCAGCCUUUAUGGGGAGGAGGCUCAUCGGCCGCUACAGUGCUGGUCCUCGGUCGGGCCGCGGCCGGUGACAGCUAUGCCGGCCGGGCACCGUACAUGCCUUGGGCGCCAACACAUUCAUGCCUCGCAGAGAGGUGGCAAUGAAUUGAAGCUGAUGACGGAGUGGUGCUGGCUGUGCAGAGCACGUGCGAUUCGUACACCGUCGCAGUGAUCAGUCUGGUUAUCCACAACAUCUGCUGCUUUCUUGGCUGCCGGGUUUACUCCCCGGCUGUGACGCACCGUUUGUUCCCUUUGCAAGGCAC